RNAcentral lists this transfer RNA (73 nucleotides) under bacterium. Its description in RNAcentral is "tRNA-Glu". It matches the Rfam family "tRNA". Rfam says of the family: Transfer RNA (tRNA) molecules are approximately 80 nucleotides in length. Their secondary structure includes four short double-helical elements and three loops (D, anti-codon, and T loops). Further hydrogen bonds mediate the characteristic L-shaped molecular structure. tRNAs have two regions of fundamental functional importance: the anti-codon, which is responsible for specific mRNA codon recognition, and the 3' end, to which the tRNAs corresponding amino acid is attached (by aminoacyl-tRNA synthetases). tRNAs cope with the degeneracy of the genetic code in two manners: having more than one tRNA (with a specific anti-codon) for a particular amino acid; and 'wobble' base-pairing, i.e. permitting non-standard base-pairing at the 3rd anti-codon position. The record is from RNAcentral.
GGUCCUAUCGUCUAAUGGCUCAGGACAUGUCCCUUUCACGGACAAAAUACGGGUUCGAUUCCCGUUGGGACUA